AAGAUGAAGGUUCUAUGGAUUGUAAGCUUCUUUUGUACAGGGUAAAAACGGGACGUGUCCUGUCUGCAAGUACUGUACGAAUAAGCAUCGGCUAACUCCGUGCCAGCAGCCGCGGUAAUACGGAGGAUGCGAGCGUUAUCCGGAUUUAUUGGGUUAAAGGGUGCGUAGGCGGUUUAUUAAGUCAGCGGUGAAAGUUGAGGCUCAACGUUAAAAUUGCCGUUGAAACUGGUAGACUUGAGUAUAGAUGAAGUAGGCGGAAUUAGUGGUGUAGCGGUGAAAUGCAUAGAUAUCACUAGGAACUCCGAUAGCGAAGGCAGCUUACUAAGGUAUAACUGACGCUGAUGCACGAAAGUGUGGGUAUCAAACAGGAUUAGAUACCCUGGUAGUCCACACAGUAAACGAUGAUUACUAGUUGUUUGCGAUAUACAGUAAGUAACUAAGCGAAAGCGAUAAGUAAUCCACCUGGGGAGUACGCCGGCAACGGUGAAACUCAAAGGAAUUGACGGGGGCCCGCACAAGCGGAGGAACAUGUGGUUUAAUUCGAUGAUACGCGAGGAACCUUACCCGGGCUUGAAAUGUAGAGGAAUAACCUGGAAACGGGUUAGCUAGCAAUAGUCUCUAUGUAGGUGCUGCAUGGUUGUCGUCAGCUCGUGCCGUGAGGUGUCGGCUUAAGUGCCAUAACGAGCGCAACCCACAUUGUUAGUUGCUAACAGGUUAAGCUGAGGACUCUGACAAGACUGCCAGCGUAAGCUGCGAGGAAGGUGUGGAUGACGUCAAAUCAGCACGGCCCUUACGUCCGGGGCGACACACGUGUUACAAUGGGUGGUACAAAGGGCAGCUACCGGGCGACCGGAUGCCAAUCUCAAAAGCCACUCCCAGUUCGGAUUGGAGUCUGCAACUCGACUCCAUGAAGCUGGAUUCGCUAGUAAUCGCGCAUCAGCCAUGGCGCGGUGAAUACGUUCCCGGGCCUUGUACACACCGCCCGUCAAGCCAUGGGAGCCGGGGGUACCUGAAGUACGUAACCGCAAGGAGCGUCCUAGGGUAAUACUGGUGACUGGGGCUAAGUCGUAACAAGGUAGCCGUAAGCUUGGAAUUCG
RNAcentral lists this ribosomal RNA (1097 nucleotides) under uncultured bacterium. RNAcentral's name for it is "bacterial SSU rRNA". It matches the Rfam family "Bacterial small subunit ribosomal RNA", at positions 405 to 1514 of the family's 1533-position model. The record is from RNAcentral.